UCAUUUUUUUUCUUUUUUUUCCCCUGCAUCUGGGGGAGAUAAGGAAAGGAAAAAGGGGAGAGCAAGAACACAGACCACGCCAGGAUUUUCUGAGUCGACUGAACAAAAGUAAUGUCACGAAACUGGGUUAUAUCCCAUGAGAGAGACCAUCCAGAACAACAAGGCAGCUGAGAACUCCUUCAGAGUGGUCGAAGAGGAAAACAGAUUAUUUCAGAGACUGAACAAUGGGGCAUUCUUUUAACUAUGCCCAGAAAGAACCAACGUUAAGGAAAACAGGAGAUGUCUGUCCUUGGUUCCUCGUGGCAUCCUUCAUCAGUGCCUUUAUGGAAUCAAAUGCCCCAUCUUGAGCAUCGACACCAUGCUGGGCAUUGAGGAUACAAACUUGAAGAUGUCAAUACCAAGACUUGCAGAACCAUCCACCAGAUGAUUUUUGCUUAUGUGAGAAAGCUCCUCUACUCAAACUUCUGGUCACUCUGAUAUCCUUUAAGAAUAAACCAUUAAACAUUAUCAACCAGCUAUUGAAAAUGAUGAACUGAUAUCCACUUGUUAGGAAAAAAUGUUUACUUAGUUCUGAAAAUAAACUUACUUGAUACA
Long non-coding RNA from Neogale vison (American mink), 594 nucleotides. RefSeq lists it as uncharacterized. The transcript is spliced from 3 exons. NCBI's taxonomy places the organism in Eukaryota, Metazoa, Chordata, Mammalia, Carnivora, Mustelidae. The record is from RefSeq and is a predicted model, not a curated record.